Molecule: ribosomal RNA, 406 nt
Filed under: uncultured bacterium
Lineage: Bacteria
Description: partial 16S ribosomal RNA
Rfam family: Bacterial small subunit ribosomal RNA
Source: RNAcentral
AUUGAACGCUGGCGGCAGGCCUAACACAUGCAAGUCGAACGAGUGGCGGACGGGUGAGUAAUGUCUGGGAAACUGCCUGAUCGAGGGGGCUAACUACUGGAAACGGUAGCUAAUACUGCAUACCAUCAGAUGUGCCCAGAUGGGAUUAGCUAGUUGGUGGGGUAACGGCUCACCAAGGCGACGAUCCCUAGCUGGUCUGCGAGGCUGACCAGCCACACUGGAACUGAGACACGGUCCAGACUCCUACGGGAGGCAGCAGUGGGGAAUAUUGCACAAUGGGCGAAAGCCUGAUGGAGCCAUGCCGCGUGUAUGAAGAAGGCCUUCGGGUUGUAAAGUACUUUCAGCGGGGAGGCGUUACCCGCAGAAGAAGCACCGGCUAACUCCGUGCCAGCAGCCGCGGUAAUUC